AUUGAACGCUGGCGGCAGGCCUAACACAUGCAAGUCGAACGAGUGGCGGACGGGUGAGUUUUGUCUGGGAAACUGCCUGAUGGAGGGGGAUAACUACUGGAAACGGUAGCUAAUACCGCAUACCUUCAGAUGCGCCCAGAUGGGAUUAGCUUGUUGGUGGGGGAACGGCUCACCAAGGCGACGAUCCCUAGCUGGCAUGAGAGGAUGACCAGACACGCUUGAACUGAGACACGGUCCAGACUCCUACGGGAGGCAGCAGUGGGGAAUAGUGCACAAUGGGUGCAAGCCUGAUGCAGCCAUGCCGCGUGUAUGAAGAAGGCCUUCGGGUUGUAAAGUACUUUCAGCGGGGAGGCGUUACCCGCAGAAGAAGCACCGGCUAACACCGUGCCAGCAGCCGCGGUAAUUC
This 406-nucleotide ribosomal RNA is filed under the name uncultured bacterium. RNAcentral's name for it is "partial 16S ribosomal RNA". It matches the Rfam family "Bacterial small subunit ribosomal RNA", at positions 30 to 526 of the family's 1533-position model. The record is from RNAcentral.